RNAcentral lists this ribosomal RNA (253 nucleotides) under uncultured bacterium. RNAcentral describes it as "partial 16S ribosomal RNA". It matches the Rfam family "Bacterial small subunit ribosomal RNA", at positions 524 to 776 of the family's 1533-position model. The record is from RNAcentral.
UACGUAGGUGGCGAGCGUUGUCCGGAAUUACUGGGUGUAAAGGGAGUGUAGGCGGGACUGCAAGUCAGAUGUGAAAUUUAUGGGCUCAACUCAUAACCUGCAUUUGAAACUGUAGUUCUUGAGUGAAGUAGAGGCAAGCGGAAUUCCUAGUGUAGCGGUGAAAUGCGUAGAUAUUAGGAGUAACACCAGUGGCGAAGGCGGCUUGCUGGGCUUUUACUGACGCUGAGGCUCGAAAGCGUGGGGAGCAAACAGG